AUUGAACGCUGGCGGCAGGCCUAACACAUGCAAGUCGAACGGUAACAGGAAGCAGCUUGCUGCUUUGCUGACGAGUGGCGGACGGGUGAGUAAUGUCUGGGAAACUGCCCGAUGGAGAGGGAUAACUACUGGAAACGGUAGCUAAUACCGCAUAACGUCGCAAGACCAAAGAGGGGGACCUUAGGGCCUCUUGCCAUCGGAUGUGCCCAGAUGGGAUUAGCUAGUAGGUGGGGUAACGGCUCACCUAGGCGACGAUCCCUAGCUGGUCUGAGAGGAUGACCAGCCACACUGGAACUGAGACACGGUCCAGACUCCUACGGGAGGCAGCAGUGGGGAAUAUUGCACAAUGGGCGCAAGCCUGAUGCAGCCAUGCCGCGUGUAUGAAGAAGGCCUUCGGGUUGUAAAGUACUUUCAGCGGGGAGGAAGGGAGUAAAGUUAAUACCUUUGCUCAUUGACGUUACCCGCAGAAGAAGCACCGGCUAACUCCGUA
This 490-nucleotide ribosomal RNA is filed under the name uncultured bacterium. RNAcentral describes it as "partial 16S ribosomal RNA". It matches the Rfam family "Bacterial small subunit ribosomal RNA", at positions 30 to 507 of the family's 1533-position model. The record is from RNAcentral.